This 250-nucleotide non-coding RNA is filed under the name Enterococcus rivorum. Its description in RNAcentral is "T-box sequence". It matches the Rfam family "T-box leader". Rfam says of the family: Uncharged tRNA acts as the effector for transcription antitermination of genes in the T-box leader family. T-boxes are found upstream of many aminoacyl-tRNA synthetase genes and some amino acid biosynthetic genes usually in Gram-positive bacteria. Lineage: Bacteria; Bacillati; Bacillota; Bacilli; Lactobacillales; Enterococcaceae. The record is from RNAcentral.
GAAAAAGCAUUGAGAUGGAAAGUACAAUCAGUAAAUUUAUCAAACAGAGAGCUUGGGUAGCUGAGAACAAGCGAUAAACACUGAUUAGAAAAUGGCCAUUGAGCAGCGUUCCGAAUGGAUAGUUUCAUGAGGCAACGACGUGAGCACACGUUAACGUGCUAGAGUAUCCUAUAAGUAGCGUACUUGAAGAGGAUCGUUAUGUGAAUAACGAUUAAAAUAGAGGUGGUAACACGCAAAAAGCGUCCUCAAG